This 250-nucleotide ribosomal RNA is filed under the name uncultured Halomonas sp. Its description in RNAcentral is "partial 16S ribosomal RNA". It matches the Rfam family "Bacterial small subunit ribosomal RNA", at positions 79 to 339 of the family's 1533-position model. The record is from RNAcentral. Lineage: Bacteria; Pseudomonadati; Pseudomonadota; Gammaproteobacteria; Oceanospirillales; Halomonadaceae.
GCUGGAUGCUGACGAGCGGCGGACGGGUGAGUAAUGCAUAGGAAUCUGCCCGAUAGUGGGGGAUAACCUGGGGAAACCCAGGCUAAUACCGCAUACGUCCUACGGGAGAAAGGGGGCUCCGGCUCCCGCUAUUGGAUGAGCCUAUGUCGGAUUAGCUAGUUGGUGAGGUAACGGCUCACCAAGGCCACGAUCCGUAGCUGGUCUGAGAGGAUGAUCAGCCACAUCGGGACUGAGACACGGCCCGAACUCC